This 385-nucleotide unclassified non-coding RNA is filed under the name fungal sp. RNAcentral's name for it is "partial internal transcribed spacer region". The stretch from base 1 to 46 matches the Rfam family "Eukaryotic small subunit ribosomal RNA", at positions 1786 to 1831 of the family's 1831-position model. The record is from RNAcentral. Lineage: Eukaryota; Fungi.
AAGUCGUAACAAGGUUUCCGUAGGUGAACCUGCGGAAGGAUCAUUAUCCUUUAGCGUGGUAUUCUAACCAAUACUACAAGCGCAUGCACACUAUGUGUUGCGUAAAAAUGCAUAACGAUGAUGCCUAGUCAUUUUUCGUUUUUCAAAUCCAUGCUAGCUCUCUAGUAUGGUCGGGUACCUAAGUACACACGUACAUCAAGCGGUAGAUACUUGUCUAUCGUGUGGUGUAAAGAUCAUUCAGAGCCUUUGAAUGACGCCCGCUUAGCAAACAUUUUAUAUACAAAUUUUAAAUCGCAAUACUAUGUUGUAUGUGUAAAAGACUAUCUUAUUACUUACGAUGAGAUAAUAACACAAAUACAACCCUAUGCGGUGGAUCAUUUGGCUC